This 497-nucleotide ribosomal RNA is filed under the name uncultured bacterium. RNAcentral describes it as "partial 16S ribosomal RNA". It matches the Rfam family "Bacterial small subunit ribosomal RNA", at positions 28 to 507 of the family's 1533-position model. The record is from RNAcentral.
GACGAACGCUGGCGGCGUGCCUAAUACAUGCAAGUUGAGCGAUGAAGAUUGGUGCUUGCACCAAUUUGAAGAGCAGCGAACGGGUGAGUAACGCGUGGGGAAUCUGCCUUUGAGCGGGGGACAACAUUUGGAAACGAAUGCUAAUACCGCAUAAUAACUUUAAACAUAAGUUUUAAGUUUGAAAGAUGCAAUUGCAUCACUCAAAGAUGAUCCCGCGUUGUAUUAGCUAGUUGGUGAGGUAAAGGCUCACCAAGGCGAUGAUACAUAGCCGACCUGAGAGGGUGAUCGGCCACAUUGGGACUGAGACACGCCCCAAACUCCUACGGGAGGCAGCAGUAGGGAAUCUUCGGCGAUGGACGAAAGUCUGACCGAGCAACGCGGCGUGAGUGAAGAAGGUUUUCGGAUCGUAAAACUCUGUUGGUAGAGAAGAACGUUGGUGAGAGUGGAAAGCUCAUCAAGUGACGGUAACUACCCAGAAAGGGACGGCUAACUACGUG